GACGAACGCUGGCGGCGUGCUUAACACAUGCAAGUCGAACGGAAAGGCCCUGCUUGCAGGGUACUCGAGUGGCGAACGGGUGAGUAACACGUGGGUGAUCUGCCCUGCACUUCGGGAUAAGCCUGGGAAACUGGGUCUAAUACCGGAUAGGAGCCAUUUUUAGUGUGAUGGUUGGAAAGUUUUUUCGGUGUAGGAUGAGCUCGCGGCCUAUCAGCUUGUUGGUGGGGUAAUGGCCUACCAAGGCGGCGACGGGUAGCCGGCCUGAGAGGGUGGACGGCCACAUUGGGACUGAGAUACGGCCCAGACUCCUACGGGAGGCAGCAGUGGGGAAUAUUGCACAAUGGGCGCAAGCCAGAUGCAGCGACGCCGCGUGGGGGAUGACGGCCUUCGGGUUGUAAACUCCGUUCGCUAGGGACGAAGCUUUUUGUGACGGUACCUAGAGAAGAAGCACCGGCUAACUACGUG
This 465-nucleotide ribosomal RNA is filed under the name uncultured bacterium. Its description in RNAcentral is "partial 16S ribosomal RNA". It matches the Rfam family "Bacterial small subunit ribosomal RNA", at positions 28 to 507 of the family's 1533-position model. The record is from RNAcentral.